Molecule: RNA transcript, 1393 nt
Organism: Lolium rigidum
Lineage: Eukaryota; Viridiplantae; Streptophyta; Magnoliopsida; Poales; Poaceae
Exons: 8
Source: RefSeq, a predicted model, not a curated record
GUGAGCACCAUCCGGGAGCGACCCAAUAUCUUAUCCUCACGGGCGCCGCUCCUCCUGAUGGUCUCUUCUGGGCAACCUCUGAUAUGGUGGCGCGAGACGUGGAGGAGCCCAAAUUUGUUGGAGCACGUCGAGGCGCAAGGCGUGGUGGAGUCCCUACCUCUCCCCAGAUAUUUCUCAUACAUGUACAUGUGCCUGAGGAUUUGAGACCCCAACAGAAGAUUGCCAAUAUCUACUUCAAUGCUGCUCUGGCCGACGACUGGCACGGGCUCGAGAGAUACGACCUGGUGCCCUACCACGCCGCGCACGCGCAGAAACAGUGGCGGCUUCGAGCAGCAGCCGGAAAGAGUGUUGAGGAAUCUCUGGCCAACAAGCAAUCCAGGAGGAUAUAUGAACUAUCAUCCACACAAUCUGGAUCGACAUAGUAGGAAGAUGAAUCGGUGCCUCGAGAGCUACCUUAAGAUGCAGGAUGUGCACACGGUCAUCUUCUUUCUUUUUUGCCCAACCCCAAGCAUUACUUAAGAGUUUCUUCUGUUACAAGUGUUUGUUUUCCACCAUAAUUAUGUGAGUUGAUUGGUCGGCAUUAUACGAAUUGGUUCAUGGUUUGCCCUCUUUGGAAAACACAAAGCUUGCUCCUCAUUAUACUACUGUAUGCCUUGCCAUGUGUUGAAAUUUCUCGGUACACUAUGGUUUAGGAUAACUUUCUGCUUAUAUUCUGAUGCUUUACCUACAGCCAACUGUUUCUACUCGAAGUCCUUUGUGGUUGAUGAGAUUCUAGAUGAUGUGCUUUCUGAUUAGGUGUUACUGAGGGAACAUGAUGAAAGGAUGUGCGCCAACUAAUCAUAUAGAUCAAUUCAAGGCACGGCUAAAAGAAGGUUCAGCUUACACCUUAGAACAUUCAUCGUUGCUGAUGUGCGGAAUAAAUACAGAGUAGCGGAUCAUCCUUACAGAAUCAAAAUUACUCAGUGCUCAAAAGUUCAGGAAAUCAUUCCACAACCUGUUAACCUUCCUCUAUUUUCAUAUAAUGCAACACGUGCAGUCGACAAUAGUCCUGUCAGCAAGCAGUAAGAUACCAUCUGCAUCAUCAGACCAACCUGUUCCAACUACUCGAGACAGAGAUGAAGCACUGUCGAUGUUGUUUUUCGUUGUUAUUUUCUUUCAGAUUUCUACUAGAAGCAUUAACUUCCCUGCUCAUUCUUCCGUUGGAGUUCCUCACAGCAAUAGGCUUAGAAUAGCAGAUACUGAAGUGCACAUACUGCUGGUCAUCCUCGCUGAGCUCUGUUACAAUUCAUUUCUUAGAGUUUGGUGUUUGCUGAACAUAUGCGGUGCUUGGUGAGGUGUAGGUGUGUUGGUUCGCAUGUGUUCUUUUCUUUUUUCCUCUUGUACAUUCUGCAUA